AGUGAACGCUGGCGGUAGGCCUAACACAUGCAAGUCGAACGGCAGCACAGUAAGAGCUUGCUCUUACGGGUGGCGAGUGGCGGACGGGUGAGGAAUACAUCGGAAUCUACUUUUUCGUGGGGGAUAACGUAGGGAAACUUACGCUAAUACCGCAUACGACCUACGGGUGAAAGCAGGGGAUCUUCGGACCUUGCGCGAUUGAAUGAGCCGAUGUCGGAUUAGCUAGUUGGCGGGGUAAAGGCCCACCAAGGCGACGAUCCGUAGCUGGUCUGAGAGGAUGAUCAGCCACACUGGAACUGAGACGCGGUCCAGACUCCUACGGGAGGCAGCAGUGGGGAAUAUUGGACAAUGGGCGCAAGCCUGAUCCAGCCAUACCGCGUGGGUGAAGGAGGCCUUCGGGUUGUAAAGCCCUUUUGUUGGGAAAGAAAAGCAGCAGGUUAAUACCCCGCUGUUCUGACGGUACCCAAAGAAUAAGCACCGGCGAACUUCGU
RNAcentral lists this ribosomal RNA (491 nucleotides) under uncultured bacterium. RNAcentral's name for it is "partial 16S ribosomal RNA". It matches the Rfam family "Bacterial small subunit ribosomal RNA", at positions 29 to 506 of the family's 1533-position model. The record is from RNAcentral.